RNAcentral lists this ribosomal RNA (496 nucleotides) under uncultured bacterium. RNAcentral's name for it is "partial 16S ribosomal RNA". It matches the Rfam family "Bacterial small subunit ribosomal RNA", at positions 28 to 506 of the family's 1533-position model. The record is from RNAcentral.
GAUGAACGCUGGCGGCGUGCCUAAUACAUGCAAGUCGAGCGAACAGACGAGGAGCUUGCUCCUCUGACGUUAGCGGCGGACGGGUGAGUAACACGUGGAUAACCUACCUAUAAGACUGGGAUAACUUCGGGAAACCGGAGCCAAUACCGGAUAAUAUAUUGAACCGCAUGGUUCAAUAGUGAAAGACGGUUUUGCUGUCACUUAUAGAUGGAUCCGCGCCGCAUUAGCUAGUUGGUAAGGUAACGGCUUACCAAGGCGACGAUGCGUAGCCGACCUGAGAGGGUGAUCGGCCACACUGGAACUGAGACACGGUCCAGACUCCUACGGGAGGCAGCAGUAGGGAAUCUUCCGCAAUGGGCGAAAGCCUGACGGAGCAACGCCGCGUGAGUGAUGAAGGUCUUCGGAUCGUAAAACUCUGUUAUUAGGGAAGAACAAAUGUGUAAGUAACUAUGCACGUCUGGACGGUACCUAAUCAGAAAGCCACGGCUAACUACGU